RNAcentral lists this ribosomal RNA (252 nucleotides) under uncultured bacterium. RNAcentral describes it as "partial 16S ribosomal RNA". It matches the Rfam family "Bacterial small subunit ribosomal RNA", at positions 524 to 776 of the family's 1533-position model. The record is from RNAcentral.
UACGUAGGUGGCGAGCGUUGUCCGGAAUCAUUGGGCGUAAAGGGAGCGCAGGCGGGCAAGUAAGUCUUUCUUAAAAGUUCGGGGCUCAACCCCGUGAUGGGAAAGAAACUACAUGUCUUGAGUACAGGAGAGGAAAGCGGAAUUCCCAGUGUAGCGGUGAAAUGCGUAGAUAUUGGGAGGAACACCAGUGGCGAAGGCGGCUUUCUGGACUGCAACUGACGCUGAGGCUCGAAAGCCAGGGGAGCGAACGGG